RNAcentral lists this ribosomal RNA (460 nucleotides) under uncultured bacterium. RNAcentral describes it as "partial 16S ribosomal RNA". It matches the Rfam family "Bacterial small subunit ribosomal RNA", at positions 338 to 795 of the family's 1533-position model. The record is from RNAcentral.
CCUACGGGUGGCAGCAGUGAGGAAUAUUGGUCAAUGGCCGGAAGGCUGAACCAGCCAUUCCGCGUGAAGGUCAGUGCCCUAUGGGCGUUAAACUUCUUUUGUGCGGGAGCAAUAAUGGUCACGUGUGGCCAGACGAGAGUACCGUACGAAUAAGCAUCGGCUAACUCCGUGCCAGCAGCCGCGGUAAUACGGGGGAUGCAAGCGUUAUCCGGAUUUAUUGGGUUUAAAGGGUGCGUAGGCUGUGAGGUAAGUCAGCGGUGAAAUGCCCCCGCUCAACGGGGUGAAGUGCCAUUGAUACUGCCUGGCUGGAAUGCGGAUGCCGUGGGAGGAAUGUGUGGGGUAGCGGUGAAAUGCAUAGAUAUCACACAGAACACCGAUUGCGAAGGCAUCUCACGAAUCCGCGAUUGACGCUGAUGCACGAAAGCGUGGGUAUCAAACAGGAUUAGAUACCCUAGUAGUC